UGCAAAUGAUGUUUUUUCUCACGAUGGUCUUCCAAGUCCUCUGGGCUCUGACGACAAUGCCUAAUGGCAAUACUGAUGUGGUUGA
Small nucleolar RNA from Amphiprion percula (orange clownfish), 85 nucleotides. Lineage: Eukaryota; Metazoa; Chordata; Actinopteri; Pomacentridae. The record is from Ensembl.